UUGCAACCCUUUGCCAUUUUUCAAAAUCUGCAUUUUCUUAAAAGCACUAUUUCUGUGGAUGAGUUAAGCAAUUUAAGGACAUGAUAGGUUUUUUUUUUUUUUUUUUUUUAAAUUCAGGUAAGGUGUGCAAAUAUAGGAUCAAAGGUUUUGUGACUGCAUUUCUUCUCGUGGUGAGCUUGGUGACCUAUGACAGAGGAGAUGACUGAUGGAAGAAGGCUCUUGAUGAGAGGAAGUGAUCCAACAAAGAUGAAAGACACUUGGUUAAGUUUUGCUCAGAAAGGGGAGUCGUCUUUAUAUAACAGCAAAGAAAGGAAAUUCACAAUCAACAAAUCUGUGAUCUUUGGAAAAUUUAGCUUUUUCUCUACUAUACUAGCAAGACUUUGUUUUAGUCCCCAUUCCUCAGGAAUUCUACCUUUGGGGAGGAAGAGUAUUUUGUUGAGACAGGAACAUACAAUGACGACAGUUUGGUCAUGA
RNAcentral lists this long non-coding RNA (474 nucleotides) under Cavia porcellus (domestic guinea pig). RNAcentral's name for it is "lncRNA (ENSCPOG00000033057.1)". The record is from RNAcentral. Lineage: Eukaryota; Metazoa; Chordata; Mammalia; Rodentia; Caviidae.